GGAGGGCUCCCCGUACCACACCGGGCAGCUGCACCCCGCGGUGCGCGUGGCCGACCUCCUGCAGCACAUCAACCAGAUGAAGACCGCCGAGGGCUAUGGCUUCAAGCAGGAGUACGAGAGCUUCUUUGAAGGCAGGGAUGCCACAAAGAAGAAAGAAAAGCUUAACAGUGGCCGGCAGGAGCCAGUGCCUGCCUAUGACCGGCACCGUGUGAAGCUGCACCCGAUGCUGGGAGACCCGGAUGCUGACUCCAUUUCUGCCAACUACAUAGACAUUCGGAUAAACCGUGAAG
Molecule: long non-coding RNA, 290 nt
Organism: Jaculus jaculus (lesser Egyptian jerboa)
Lineage: Eukaryota; Metazoa; Chordata; Mammalia; Rodentia; Dipodidae
Exons: 4
Source: RefSeq, a predicted model, not a curated record